RNAcentral lists this ribosomal RNA (1055 nucleotides) under Hynobius amakusaensis. RNAcentral describes it as "partial 16S ribosomal RNA". It matches the Rfam family "Bacterial large subunit ribosomal RNA", at positions 861 to 2594 of the family's 2925-position model. Lineage: Eukaryota; Metazoa; Chordata; Amphibia; Caudata; Hynobiidae. The record is from RNAcentral.
UAAAUGAACUUAAAUUCAACUUAAAAUAUUUUUUAAACAAAUAAAGUAAAAAAUAAUAUUUUAAAGUUAAUUAAUAGAGGUUCAGCUCUAUUAAUAAAGGAUACAACCUAAAAUAAUGAAUAAUGACUAUAUUAAUUAAAGAAAUUAAUUUUGUGGGCUUAAAAGCAGCAAUCAAAAUAAAAGCGUCAAAGCUUAAUUUAACAAAUCUUAUUAUAACAAUAAAAUAAUCUUAAUUCAUUAAAACUAUUAAGUCAAUCUAUUUAAAUAGAUGUGAUUAUACUAGAAUAAGUAAUAAGAAAAUAUUCUCUUAGUGUAAGUGUAUAUCAGAACGAAUACUUCACUGAUAAUUAACGAACCUUUUGAGGGAAAAAUAAUAUUUUACAAGAAAAGAUUAUUUAACCAAUCGUUAACCCAACACAGGAGCACACUAGAAAGAUUAAAAAUAUAGGAAGGAACUCGGCAAACACGAACUUCGCCUGUUUACCAAAAACAUCGCCUCUUGCAGCUAAAAUAUAAGAGGUCCUGCCUGCCCAGUGACACUAAGUUUAACGGCCGCGGUAUCAUGACCGUGCAAAGGUAGCGUAAUCACUUGUCUUUUAAAUAAAGACCAGUAUGAAUGGCAAGACGAAAGUUCAACUGUCUCCUUAAAUUAAUCAAUGAAAUUGAUUUUUCCGUGCAGAAGCGGAAAUAUAACUAUAAGACGAGAAGACCCUAUGGAGCUUUAAAUAUAUAAUCAAUUGCAUAACAUAAAAUCCAAAAGAUAAAAUAUAAAAUAAAACAAUAUGAUUAAAAUUUUAGGUUGGGGCGACCACGGAGAAAAACAAAACCUCCGAGAUGAAGAGAAUAUCUUAAUUCAAGAACUACAGUUCUAAAAAAUAAAAUAUUUAACAUAAUUGAUCCAAUAUGUUGAUCAACGAACCAAGUUACCCUAGGGAUAACAGCGCAAUCCUCUCUAAGAGUCCCUAUCGACGAGCGGGUUUACGACCUCGAUGUUGGAUCAGGACACCCCAAUGGUGCAGCCGCUAUUAAAGGUUCGUUUGUUCAACGAUUAAAGU